Lemur catta (Ring-tailed lemur) is the source of this 70-nucleotide small nucleolar RNA. RefSeq annotates it as small nucleolar RNA SNORD56. The record is from RefSeq and is a predicted model, not a curated record. Lineage: Eukaryota; Metazoa; Chordata; Mammalia; Primates; Lemuridae. The transcript has a single exon.
CUACAAUGAUGGCAAUUUUUUCAUCAUCAGCAUGUCACCUAGUGAGUGUUGAUACUUUGGGUCUAAGGAA